GGUUAAGCGACUAAGCGUACACGGUGGAUGCCCUGGCAGUCAGAGGCGAUGAAGGACGUGCUAAUCUGCGAUAAGCGUCGGUGAGGUGAUAUGAACCGUUAUAACCGGCGAUUUCCGAAUGGGGAAACCCAGUGUGUUUCGACACACUAUCAUUAACUGAAUCCAUAGGUUAAUGAGGCGAACCGGGGGAACUGAAACAUCUAAGUACCCCGAGGAAAAGAAAUCAACCGAGAUUCCCCCAGUAGCGGCGAGCGAACGGGGAGGAGCCAGAGCCUGAAUCAGUGUGUGUGUUAGUGGAAGCGUCUGGAAAGGCGUGCGAUACAGGGUGACAGCCCCGUACACAAAAAUGCACAUAUUGUGAGCUCGAUGAGUAGGGCGGGACACGUGGUAUCCUGUCUGAAUAUGGGGGGACCAUCCUCCAAGGCUAAAUACUCCUGACUGACCGAUAGUGAACCAGUACCGUGAGGGAAAGGCGAAAAGAACCCCGGCGAGGGGAGUGAAAAAGAACCUGAAACCGUGUACGUACAAGCAGUGGGAGCCUCUUUAUGGGGUGACUGCGUACCUUUUGUAUAAUGGGUCAGCGACUUAUAUUCUGUAGCAAGGUUAACCGAAUAGGGGAGCCGAAGGGAAACCGAGUCUUAACUGGGCGUUAAGUUGCAGGGUAUAGACCCGAAACCCGGUGAUCUAGCCAUGGGCAGGUUGAAGGUUGGGUAACACUAACUGGAGGACCGAACCGACUAAUGUUGAAAAAUUAGCGGAUGACUUGUGGCUGGGGGUGAAAGGCCAAUCAAACCGGGAGAUAGCUGGUUCUCCCCGAAAGCUAUUUAGGUAGCGCCUCGUGAAUUCAUCUCCGGGGGUAGAGCACUGUUUCGGCAAGGGGGUCAUCCCGACUUACCAACCCGAUGCAAACUGCGAAUACCGGAGAAUGUUAUCACGGGAGACACACGGCGGGUGCUAACGUCCGUCGUGAAGAGGGAAACAACCCAGACCGCCAGCUAAGGUCCCAAAGUCAUGGUUAAGUGGGAAACGAUGUGGGAAGGCCCAGACAGCCAGGAUGUUGGCUUAGAAGCAGCCAUCAUUUAAAGAAAGCGUAAUAGCUCACUGGUCGAGUCGGCCUGCGCGGAAGAUGUAACGGGGCUAAACCAUG
This 1147-nucleotide ribosomal RNA is filed under the name Escherichia coli. RNAcentral's name for it is "partial 23S ribosomal RNA". It matches the Rfam family "Bacterial large subunit ribosomal RNA", at positions 1 to 1191 of the family's 2925-position model. Lineage: Bacteria; Pseudomonadati; Pseudomonadota; Gammaproteobacteria; Enterobacterales; Enterobacteriaceae. The record is from RNAcentral.